Non-coding RNA from Arachis ipaensis, 1094 nucleotides. The record is from RefSeq and is a predicted model, not a curated record. Lineage: Eukaryota; Viridiplantae; Streptophyta; Magnoliopsida; Fabales; Fabaceae.
GCAAAAUAUUGGGUUUUCAAAGUACUCUUUUUAGUGUUCUUAUGUAAAAUGUGGUAAUUUGCUUAGGCUUAGUUUUUUAUGAAUCAAAUGAUGCUCAAUUUUGUUGUUUUCAUGUUUUCUUUUUGUGCUUGUAGCUUCGGGGGGCUCUCAGGCGCGGGAGAAUGCUCCAUUGAAAGAUGGUUCAAGCAUCAAUCAGCUUUUUAGUAUUAAAGGAGCUGCUCAAGAAUCAAAUAAAUGGAAGAUUCGACUUCAACUUACAAAACUUGUCACUUGGCCUCCAUUGGUUUGGGGUGUAGUUUGUCGUGCCGCUGCUUUUGGAAAUUUCCAUUGGACUAUUGAGGAUGUUGCUAAAUCAAUUGUGUGCAUGUUGAUGUCUGCCCUGUUUCUAACAGGAUAUACUCAGAAUAUAAAUGAUUGGUAUGACCGACGAAUUCCUUCUGGGGCUAUAUCUGAGAACGAGGUUAUCACUCAAAUAUGAGUGCUGCUACUAGGAGGUCUUGGCUUGGCAGGUCUAAUAGACGUAUGGGUAGGUACUGCUGCAGUGCUUCUGAUAUGGGAACAGUGGUGGGAAAAGGACUAUCUUUAUAUAACUGUAUAUGAUUAAAAAAAGGAGUCUUUGGUUGAGGUUGGUGUGUUAAGAAAUAACAACAUAGCCCCUUCGGUUUGUUAACAUGAGCUUGAAUUUUCUCGACGCGAUGCAACUACUAUGUUCCGAAGAUUUCCUCCACUGUUUUGUUAUAGUAUUAAGAAUAAUCUGGAGCCGAAAUACAAUUACUUUGUGGUGGAGAUGGGGAGAGAUUUGAAGGAGCUGAAGGAGUUUCCACAAUAUUUCUCAUUUAGCUUAGAGAACAGAAUUAAGCCGAGGCAUAAACGCUGCAUAGAAAUGGGGGUGUGUUUCCCUCUUCCUGUGUUGUUAAAGAUGACUGAAACGAGCUUUCAAAAUAGGUUAGAUGUGUGUAUAAAUUCUUCAACACCCUUGAAAAAAUCUCCUCUCUGGUGUGAUGCUUGUGAUAUUCAAGUAUAGAGAAAAAAAUGAACAACAACUGCAUUGUGUAUUUACAUUGCUUUUGAUGAAUCUCUUAGUUUAUAUUAUA